UACGAAGGGUGCAAACGUUGCUCGGAAUUAUUGGGCGUAAAGCGCACGUAGGCGGUUCGUUAAGUCGGAUGUGAAAGCCCUCGGCUCAACUGAGGAAGUGCACCCGAAACUGGCGAGCUUGAGUACGAAAAGAGGAUCGCGGAAUUCCCGGUGUAGAGGUGAAAUGCGCAGAUAUCAGGAGGAACACCGAUGGCGAAGGCAGGUCUCUGGGCCACUACUGACGCUGAGAAGCGAAAGCAUGGGGAGCGAACAGG
RNAcentral lists this ribosomal RNA (254 nucleotides) under uncultured bacterium. RNAcentral's name for it is "partial 16S ribosomal RNA". It matches the Rfam family "Bacterial small subunit ribosomal RNA", at positions 524 to 776 of the family's 1533-position model. The record is from RNAcentral.